Nicotiana tabacum (common tobacco) is the source of this 433-nucleotide long non-coding RNA. RefSeq lists it as uncharacterized. NCBI's taxonomy places the organism in Eukaryota, Viridiplantae, Streptophyta, Magnoliopsida, Solanales, Solanaceae. The record is from RefSeq and is a predicted model, not a curated record.
UGACAUCUGUCUUUCUUCAACCAGAGAACCUUUUAAUUUUCUCCUCUUCUUUCUUCUUCUUUUUUCUCAGAGAAAAAUAUGGCUUCCCAUAAGACUAUCACCGUCUCCACUUCUGAUAACUGCGCCAACGGCGAUUCAUUGCCGGCGAACUCGCCGAAAGGCCAGUGCCUGUGCUCGCCGACGAACCAUAAAGGAUCGUUCAGGUGCAGGUAUCACCGUACUCCAACUUCUGGUAACACAGCAAGUGAAUGGUUCAAGAGAUCAAAAUCCAUGCCUGUUAAUAAGCACAAUAAUAUAUCUCCCAAAUCAGUUGAAUCUACUUAAAAUAUUGUAAUUUUGAGUGGAUAAAUGGAAGAAUAUAUGGUUUUCUCUUUUUCCCCUCUUAAAAUAUGUAUAGUUUUUGAUAUUGCAAGGAACUUUCUCUCUUCUCUUC